GGGAAACAUGGGUUUGGUGUACACUGUUCAUGAAUUACUGAUGCUAAUGUUCUGAUAGUGAAGUCGUACGAAAUACAAUUCAAGAAGUCCCAAUAACUAAACACAGCCCAUUUGUUGUCCAAUUUUAUGGUAAGAGUAAGUUUUUAUUUCUGUAAUAAUGUAUUCACUCGGUUUAGUAACCAAACAUUGGCAAAAAUAAAGAGGCUUUAUGCUUUAAUAUUUUAAUUUUAAACAAAUAUUAUUAAAGAAAAUCUAUUAUGCCUAUUUAAAUAUUUUACCAUAAUAUGACAUACAUCGUUAACAAAGUAUUACUAUCAACCAAAUUGCGCUCAGAAUCGUUUUUUGGUGAGCAAUCAUUGCUGGUUUAAUAAAUGUUUUUUCUAUAGAUUUAAUUAAAAAUUAUUAAUUAUUUAAGGAUCUAAAAUAAGAAAACCAACAACCUAUCUAUUUUAAUUAUAUGCCAUACAAUAACCAAAUUAAUAAAAUAACUUUUUGUAUUUAAAGAAACUAGUUGUUUCACCCUGACACUUAGUAUGACAGAAAAUAAUGGUUAUAUAAUACUUUAAAGAAGUUUGUUUAAAUGUUUAAAACAAAACAUAUCUAAAAAUAACAUUCUCAGAUAGUGAGUGUUUUAUACUAAAUUGACCACUGUGUAUAUUAAAGUCAAUACAUCAUACAAUAUUAUUAUAAGUACCUAUAACUAAUUUAAUAUAUUCUAGAUACUAAUAAUUUUUACCACAUUUUUUUGAUUUUCAGACUACUGUGGGAAAUGCGUACAAAGUCAUCACAAUCUCCGUAACGAAAAAGGAUCAUAGUUAUACAAAUUAUUCAAAUCCAUGAUAUUCAAAAACACCAAAAACCCUAUGUCAGUCUAAAGAGUUAAGGAAUUAAAGCAUUAAGAUUCACAUGGACCCGUUCAUCAGCUUUUGUAUGUACAUUAUUAGA
Molecule: non-coding RNA, 945 nt
Organism: Cinara cedri
Lineage: Eukaryota; Metazoa; Arthropoda; Insecta; Hemiptera; Aphididae
Source: the annotation of a GenBank genome assembly